This 233-nucleotide unclassified non-coding RNA is filed under the name uncultured fungus. Its description in RNAcentral is "sequence contains ITS1, 5.8S rRNA gene". The record is from RNAcentral. Lineage: Eukaryota; Fungi.
AUGAAUAAACUUGGUCAAGCUGUUGCUGGUCCUUCGGGGCAUGUGCACGCUUGCCACCAAUUUUAACCACCUGUGCACCUUUUGUAGACUGAAUCCAAAUUCUCGAGGAAACUCGGAUUGAGAACUGCUGUGCGCAAGCCAGCUCUUCUUGUGUUUCUCAGUCUAUGUCUUUACAUACCCCAAAUGAAUGUAUAAGAAUGUAUUGCUAGGCCUUUGUGCCUUUAAAUCAAAUA